This 50-nucleotide non-coding RNA is filed under the name unclassified sequences. RNAcentral describes it as "L31-Gammaproteobacteria ribosomal protein leader". It matches the Rfam family "L31-Gammaproteobacteria ribosomal protein leader". The record is from RNAcentral.
CGUGUGGUAUCAGGUGAAAAAUCCUGAUGGCGACGCGGCCCAAGAGAGGU